UGCGUAGGCGGGUCUUUAAGUCAGAGGUGAAAUCCUGGAGCUCAACUCCAGAGCUGCCUUUGAUACUGAAGGUCUUGAGUUCGGGAGAGGUGAGUGGAACUGCGAGUGUAGAGGUGAAAUUCGUAGAUAUUCGCAAGAACACCAGUGGCGAAGGCGGCUCACUGGCCCGAUACUGACGCUGAGGCACGAAAGCGUGGGGAGCAAACA
RNAcentral lists this ribosomal RNA (207 nucleotides) under uncultured bacterium. RNAcentral describes it as "partial 16S ribosomal RNA". It matches the Rfam family "Bacterial small subunit ribosomal RNA", at positions 568 to 774 of the family's 1533-position model. The record is from RNAcentral.